Molecule: long non-coding RNA, 1665 nt
Organism: Anguilla rostrata (American eel)
Lineage: Eukaryota; Metazoa; Chordata; Actinopteri; Anguilliformes; Anguillidae
Exons: 3
Source: RefSeq, a predicted model, not a curated record
AUGUAAAUAAAUUGAUGAAUGAACAAAUAAAUAAAUAGUGUGGAUAUAUUACACUACAUUACAUUUUGUUUAGCACACACUUCUAUCCAAAGCGAUGUACAAUAAGUGUGUACCUAAGGUCAUUGGACCGACUACAAUGUAUAAUUGAAUGCCUAUCAGUGUUGUUCUAUGCAGUUGAAGAAUAGGGUCUAAGUGUUAAGAUUGCGUUAUAAUUGGUUUAAGUGUGGUAAUAAGCCUUUCCAGGAUGGAGUAUUCAGUCAUUAGACUGCUCCUAAGAGAGUGACAGUCUUUCUCAGCUAGGAGGAACAUUAGAUUGCUAGUUAAAGGGAAAGAAUUGGAAUGUCUUCUUCAGGAAUAUCGGUUAGUGGGCAGAUAAACAAACGCCACAAGCGAUGCUGCCUUUGUUUGAUCAGGAAAUGCACGCGUCAAGGUCCGCUGGCCCGAAGAGAGCCCAGCGCUGUGUGUGUUGUGCAUAGUGAUUGGCUAUUACUUUGCACUGAAUUAGCUGUGGUUCGGUUGAGAGCUGUGAAGAGGGCACUUCCUCCGGCUGGGACUGCGCCCGAGACUGAGCCUGCUGAGCGGUAGGGCCGCACCCUUCACACUAUCCCCUCUGUUCCUGUUUCCUGUUAACAGACAUCAUCGUCUCGUCAUCAUGUAAGAAGCAGGACUCAGAGAGGACCCUCAGAUGCCACAAUCAGACUCUACUGUUCUGGCAGAAAUCAUGGGUGUGGCCUGUAACCAGGACAACCAAUGACCUCCCUCCUAGAUGUUCCCUGACGCAAGUAUCCAUUCUUCACUCAAUAAAGCAAGCAAGCUCUACAAUAACAGUGCCCACCGGAUUUGAUCUGACUCUGCUCUUCACAUUAAGAUCUCGUAGAGCUGUUUUGAUUAUCGUCUAAUUAUUGUGACAUAAUUCACGUAAUGUGGAAGUGGUUCUCUCAUUUCCAGCUGAAAUUGCCCAAGGGUGCAUCAUAUCCUGUCAGAUUAAUGAGAAUGGGUUAAAUUGAUCGGUGUCCAAGAGGAAACCAUGUGUACAGGGACACUGGCUUUUUUACAAGCUGGAUAUUUACCCCAACAAGACUGCUAAAAUUCAGCAAUGUCUGAAAUAUAUUAAAAUGUCAUCUUGUCACUGUUUUCAUUUUUUUCUGCUAUUAUAAGUUUUAAUUGCCAAUUUACUGUUUAAUCAAAAGUAAACAAGAGACUAAACUAUUGUCACUACACCUAAACUUGCUCAGCAGUAGCAUAAUGUUGAAAUCUGGGUCAUCCAGGACCACUUUUGCAGAGAAUUGCCCACAGCAAUGGAAAAAAAUGACCUGUAAGUUAUUACUGAAUUUAAAUAUGAAUUUAAUACCUUGAACCGAUGAUUAAUCUACUUAUUAUUUCUUCAUGGCCUAAACGAUUAGGUUCAUCUGGUCGAUAUACUUAGUGUUGCUGUCUGCACUGAGAAGCAAGGAGGAUUUAAAUCGUAAUUUCGCAUAACCUAACAUUAACACUAGAGGUCGUUGUCGGGCACUAAAUAGCAAUCGUCCACUUACCCAUUUACGGCCCUGAAUGGCACAAUGAGUACAAAGUACCACUACAAAAUGACGUUAUGACGUAAUUCUGUAAAUGUUCAUAUUUUAUUUUUAAUUCAGUUUGAUCAUGUGAAAUAAAUAAAUAAAGUAU